Molecule: unclassified non-coding RNA, 150 nt
Filed under: fungal sp.
Lineage: Eukaryota; Fungi
Description: partial internal transcribed spacer region
Source: RNAcentral
AAGUCGUAACAAGGUUUUAACACGUAUAAAACAACCCCACGACCGGAUCACCGGGCUCUGCCCCUUUACGACAACACAGUACGAAUUGGCCGCGCGUGAAAUUCGGCACCAAAAAUUGAACAACUGUUAACAAUGGAUAUCUUGGUUCUC